UACGGAGGGGACUAGCGUUGUUCGGAAUUACUGGGCGUAAAGCGCACGUAGGCGGAUUGUUAAGUCAGGGGUGAAAUCCCGAGGCUCAACCUCGGAACUGCCUUUGAUACUGGCAAUCUCGAGUCCGGAAGAGGUGAGUGGAAUUCCCAGUGUAGAGGUGAAAUUCGUAGAUAUUGGGAAGAACACCGGUGGCGAAGGCGGCUCUCUGGACCGAUACUGACGCUGAGGCGCGAAAGCGUGGGGAGCAAACAGG
RNAcentral lists this ribosomal RNA (253 nucleotides) under uncultured bacterium. RNAcentral describes it as "partial 16S ribosomal RNA". It matches the Rfam family "Bacterial small subunit ribosomal RNA", at positions 524 to 776 of the family's 1533-position model. The record is from RNAcentral.